AUUGAACGCUGGCGGCAUGCCUUACACAUGCAAGACGAGCGGCAGCGCGGGGGGCAACCCUGGCGGCGAGCGGCGAACGGGUGAGUAAUGCAUCGGAACGUGUCCUCUUGUGGGGGAUAACCAGUCGAAAGACUGGCUAAUACCGCAUGAGCUCGAGAGAGGAAAGCGGGGGACCGCAAGGCCUCGCGCGAGAGGAGCGGCCGAUGCCGGGUUAGCUAGUUGGUGGGGUAAAGGCCCACCAAGGCGACGAUCCGUAGCUGGUCUGAGAGGGCGACCAGCCACACUGGCACUGAGAUACGGGCCAGACUCCUACGGGAGGCAGCAGUAGGGAAUAUUGGUCAAUGGAUGCAAGUCUGAACCAGCCAUGCCGCGUGCAGGAAGAAGGCCUUCUGGGUUGUAAACUGCUUUUGCCGGGGGAUAAAAUUCCCAUGCGUGGGACAUUGAAGGUACCCGGUGAAUAAGCCACGGCUAACUAACGUGCCAGCAGCGAC
RNAcentral lists this ribosomal RNA (491 nucleotides) under uncultured bacterium. Its description in RNAcentral is "bacterial SSU rRNA". It matches the Rfam family "Bacterial small subunit ribosomal RNA", at positions 29 to 518 of the family's 1533-position model. The record is from RNAcentral.